Molecule: RNA transcript, 4149 nt
Organism: Prinia subflava (tawny-flanked prinia)
Lineage: Eukaryota; Metazoa; Chordata; Aves; Passeriformes; Cisticolidae
Gene: SH2D1A
Gene name: SH2 domain containing 1A
Exons: 7
Source: RefSeq, a predicted model, not a curated record
ACAUCAGUUCUGGGUUUUUUGGUUUGGGGAUUUUUUGUACAGAAAUGUAAUUUUUCUUAUUGCUGAACUCCGUGAUAUAGGCCAGAAAAGCAAGCUGUGCCCAAAGUACUAAGGCAAACCUUUCCAAGAGCAUUAGUAUAACCAGAAUAUGUUUUUUUUCCUUAUUGAGAUUGUGUCUGAUUUGGUGACAGCCUGGUGUGUGAAGCAAGCAUGCAAUGAGGGCCACAGUUAGCGUGGUAUCUACAUAAAUAUUCAAUGCAGCCUACAGGUGGAUACUGGGAAGGAGAGACCUCAUUAUAGACUCGGAGUUCCUAAGAGGAAAGGAGGUCAGGACGUGCUGCCAGGGCAGCAGAGACUCCUGUGCUCCUUGAGUGCAUCGCUGGCACCACGAGAAACGUCUGGGCUCUGCUGGAACAGAUACCAGUGCUGUCUCACCCCGUGCCGAGGCUUCAGAGGUGCGAACACAUCCUGUUUACACCUGCCAGCCGCGCCAGGGGCGGCGGAGGGAGCGCGGCCCAGGGGCAGAGCACCCCGGGACACGGCCUGGCAUGGACACCGUGCCCGUCUACCACGGGGCCAUCACCCGCGAGGCGGGAGAGAAGCUGCUGCUGGCCGCGGGCAAGGACGGCAGCUACCUGCUGCGGGACAGCGAGAGCAUCCCGGGGGUGUACUGCCUGUGUGUGCUGCAUCAGGGUUAUGUUUAUACCUACAGAGUGUCCCAGACAGAAACUGGAUCCUGGAGUGCUGAGACGGCGCCCGGGGUGCACCGGAGGCUCUUCAGGAAGGUGCACAACCUCAUCUCAGCCUUCCAGAAACCCAACCAGGGCAUCGUGACAGCACUGCAGAACCCGGUUGUGAACCACGGGACAGCCAGCUGCUCCCCAGGGAGGAAUGAAUAUGACGUCCACCUGCAGCCAUCAUGAGGAUGUCUCCCCAAGCGUGACAUAACCACAUCUUCCAGCAUCUCCUCUAAUGUGUGCUUUAAACCAGAACGAUUUAUGGGAUAGUAAAUACAACUCUGUGAGUUUUCCUGUGACAUUUGCAGAAAUGUGUCUUUCUUAGAAUUUAUUGCUUAAGACGUAGAAGUUCAAGUUUCAGAAUACUUUGAACGUAGGGUGGGAUAUUUUUUGGUUUUGUUUUGGUUUUUCCCAAGAGAGGAUAAAAACCAUGAACUGCUAAAUCCCUUGAUCUUUGGAAAUAUAAAAUGCUUGCAUAAGUGCUUGUGCAUUUUGAUAAAAAAAUGCGUGACUCAGUUUUGCCUGCUCAAAAAUGUUUGGCAAGGUGUCUGCAAUGGGCACUGUCCAUUUGUCUGCUUCUGCAUUCCCUUCUACCAAGAGUCGUGGAAGUGAGGGAUGUGCCCUGAUGUGAGAGAUGAAGCAUUUGCUUUUCGUGUUGUAAAGCUUUUUGCAUGCAGGUCUUUUGUUAUGAGGGCAUGAAGUAUGCUGAACAGCUGAGUAGCUUCUGGCGAUUGUAUUUAGUGUAAUUUCAUCUGGCAAAUUUGUUAACAUUGUUGUUAAAGAAAUCAGACUGUUGAAAUCUUUGAUAGGUAAUAAGGUACUGCAUUUACUGUUUGCUAUCUCUCCAGCAACCGUAAAACUGUAAAAAAUUAGAUUUCAGUCAGAAAACAAAAUAAACUUAAAACCCUCUAUAUCAACACGUUUUCAAGGCAUACAAACACAGUAUGUAAAGCUUCAUUAAACAGAAAUAGAACCCACUCUGCGCUUGAGAGGGGGGCUGAGCUGCCCGCAGGGACAAAGGAGAGGGAGGGAAAAAUACCCUCCAAAGGCCGCAUGUAGUAAAAGGGGGAAACACCGAAAACAAAUACAGAAAAGGUUAAAAAGGCACACAGCGCCUGUGGCUCGCAGCUCCUGCCGAUGCAACCGCGGCCCGGCAGAGUCCCGGGGCUGUUGGGAGCCCCCGCACAGCCCGGGAGGGAACGGGGGAGCGGCACCGGAGCCCCCGCACAGCCCGGGAGGGAACGGGGGAGCGGCACCGGAGCCCCCGCACAGCCCGGGAGGGAACGGGGGAGCGGGACCGGAGCCCCCGGCUGUGGGAGGGAACGGGGGAGCGCCAUUGGAGCCCUCGGCUGCGGGAAGAAUUUGUGUUGCAGGAAAUGUGCUCCGGUUCCCACCGUCUGCAGAGCUCGCACAUUCCGUAUGCAGCUGUGAACCUGCCGGGGCUCGGGGGUUUCUGAAGGAUGAAUUCAUCCUUCGGUGCGGAACCGCCGAGGCCACCACCCGCCACCGCAGCACCGCGGCCACCGCUGCCCCCACCCGCUACCGCGGCCAUCGCCCGCCACCGCGGCCACCCCGCGCCGCCGGGGCCCCGUGUCCCGCCGGAACCAUUUUGCGGGGCGCUCGCACGCGCUGCCGUCGCUGGGUUCUGUGGGGGCGCGCGCCGCGUCUGCCCACGGCGGAGACCGAAAGCAGUUUCAAAGUAGAUUGAAGUUUUUAAUAUCUUUUCAACAUGAAAAGCAGAAUUAAAAGAUCUUGGAAGGCUGAAAAUAUUUCCUAAGAGAGAAAGAGUUUUUUUCCUCUUAAUAAUGUGAAAUGCCAGGCUGCACAAAACUGGCUGAGUUUCACCAGACACUGCCACCUGCAGCUUGUUAGCACAGUGAGAGGCGCACACCUGCCUUGUGUUCACCCCCUCAAGGCGAGCUGGAUGUGAACAGGGACAGAACUGAGCGGGCUGCACGUCCCGGCUUCGGCAAGGGAGGGAUGCUCCAAGCAACAUUAGAUAAGGCUGAAAGAUUUACCUUUUACCCCGUGUGUGAGCAAUACAGUGCAAGCAGUAAAGGAUUUUCUGUGCAACACCAGUUUCUUGUAAACCAGCAAAAGGAGGUACUGCAGUAAAUGAACAGGCCCGUUUUGACAGGGACUGGGGGGCACUGUUGCAAAGCAAUGGUUGAGGCAUUUUCAGUUCAUUACUAAGUUUUUAAUUGAAGGCCAAAUUUCACCCAGGGUGAAGUGUCCCAUGGUAUUUGACACUGCGUGUGCAUGUGUUGCUCUGUGCCGCCUUUGUACAUGUGCCGGCUGGUUGAAACUAGUCUUACCUUCAUACAGUGCCAUUCAGUGGCAGAUCCAGCACAAUUUCCUCUUGGGUUAAAUAUUUAAAGGCUUUUUUCUCGUUACAUAACUCAGCAAAUGCAUUGGCUGGUUUGCUGUCACUCGUGCCCCUGCAGCUCUCCCUUCUCCUCCCUGCCUGCAGCGUCUGCUCCCUGGCAGUUCUCUGCAGCUCUGCAGACCAAGGCCCCGCAGCUGCUGGGUGCUAGCGGUGAGUGCUGCAGCCCCAGCCUUCCCGGGAGCUCCUCUGCUUUCCAAGGUCUAAACCCUCCCUCUCCUGGCCUCUCCUGCAAAUCCUUCAUGGCAGAGGGCUGCAUGCAGUGCAGGAGCUGCCAGGGGCUGUUUCCUGUGGAGGGGUCCUGCUGCCUGCAGGCUGCAUGUGGGAUCCUGCAGCACACACGGUGCAGUGAGCUGGGGAUAACUGCUGUGACUGUGCUUGCCUCCAGAAGUGCAUUGGUCUUCUGAAAAAUACAUAAAAUAGGCCAGAAGAUGCCAUUUCUGUUUAAAGCUGAGAAUGUCGUUUCAGUUUCUGGUGUAAAUUAUUAAGACAGAGGCUUGUAUUGUUUCUUUUGGGUACCCAAGGGUCUGGAAUUGCUGCAGGCUUAAACAAGGUGGAAGCAGAGAGAAGCUGAUGGUGCCUGGGAGACAAGAAGUAGAUGCUUGGUUAUGGGAACAGUAAUAUGGAAAUUAUAUUGAUUUCCUACAGCGACUUAGGUGUGAAGAGCCUUAUGCAUUCCUUGUGCCCCUGCACUCAUGUGCUCCUUCUCUUCUGCAUGUAUUGGGCUUUUAGUGCUUUAUUUUCCUGUUUGAUUACACAGAAUCAUUCAUCAUCAUCUAUUUGAGGCAGCUCUAAAGAACAUGCAGACACUUAAACUUUGCUACUCACACUGCCAGCAGCAUUGACUUCACCCACUCAGUUACCAGGAGUGCAAAGGCAUUUAACAGACUAUUUUUUCUCUCUCGCAUUUGCUUUGAUGAAAUAUAAUAACCUUUACACAGACACUGGCUGGGAUUUCACCUGCAGUGGAACCUGUGGAGUUAUAAGCAUGAACUCUGGUGAAUCAGAAAUAAAAUUAAAUCUUGCUAA